Symphalangus syndactylus (siamang) is the source of this 2337-nucleotide long non-coding RNA. RefSeq lists it as uncharacterized. Lineage: Eukaryota; Metazoa; Chordata; Mammalia; Primates; Hylobatidae. The record is from RefSeq and is a predicted model, not a curated record.
GUCCUGGGGCAGGGAAGCGCUGUGUGCUGGGCCCCUUGGGAGCGGGAGGGCAGCCUUCCCAGCACGCGGUGGAGUCCACGCGCUGUCACCUGUUCCAAGCAGUUUCCAUGUGGGCCUACUGUCAGGCUCUCUGGAUUUGCUCAGUAGGCUCUGAAUAACAGUACCUGACAAACCAGAUCUAGAUUCCCAAGGGUGGUCUUGCUGGUCAGGCAGAAGAAGAGUGUCUCCCAAGCAAUCUCUACCGGAAGGGCCUGUUGCCCAAAGUUCUGCCGGAAGGGCCUGUUACCCAAGGCUGACCGCCAUGUGUCUCAAGGGAGUGAUCCUUGAGGGAGGACCUGAACCACUGCACUCUGGGGAGUCACUAGGGCCCGAGGAACGGCUGUCACUGAUGGGUGUCUUGCAAUGUUUAACAUGAGGAAUGUCUCCCCUCUCUGUGUCCACACCCAAACCACCCCUCAGAGACUCCUAUCUGUGUGGUUCCAGUUGAAAAUUUUUCCUUGGGAGUCAUCUCAGAAAUAGUUUGUUUAGGCCGGACACAGUAGCUCACACCUGCAAUCUCAGCACUUCGGGAGGCCGAGGCAGGUGGAUUGCUUGAGGCCAGGAGUUCAAAACCACCCUGGGCAACAUAGCAAGACUCUGUCUGUACAAAAAAUACACAGAUUAGCCAGGCAUGGUAGCAUGUACCUGUAGUCCCAGCUACUCAGGAUGCUGAGGCUGGAGGAUUGCUUGAGCCCGGGUAGGGGAGGCUGCUGUGAGCCGAGGUCGCACCACUGCAUUCCAGCCUGGGCGACAGAGCCAGACCCUGCCUUAAAAAAAAAAAAGAAAGAAAUAGUUCCAUUUAAGCGGGGGUGUGGAUCGGAUUAUAUGGGCCAAAAGCUUUGUGUUUCACAGCCACUGUGAAAUAAGGGACGUUGAUGAAGAGCCUCCUUUGAAGUUGGCAGAGAUGGGUUUGAAGUCAGAGUUGGGGUAACACCAUGUGGUAUCUUCCGUGUAAAAGCCAGAUUGGAUCUUUGUGUUUAUUUUCCACUCUGUGUCCAUGGCCUGCAGUUUUAUACCCCCCAUCCCCAGUAGAUGUUCUGGCUCAAAGGGUGAAAAUGGCUGUCCACAUCCCCACGCCCUUUUUCAAACGAGUUUGCUGAAUUGUUAAUAGGGAUCAUUUCCACUGCAUACUGCGGCUUGGAAGCUUUGACUGUUGAGGUCUCCUGAGCAAAUCAGGUGUACAGUUCUGAGUUGGAGAAGGACUUAGAAGUGACCCAGUCCAUCCCGCCAUCUCCCAGUGUCUCUAAUUGUCCCCGAUGGUGAGCACACAGGCUGACCUGGCGGCACCCGCUACUGAGAGCUUGUUCCUCACUGGAGAGGCCUUUGCUCUGUCCCAUCCCAGGGGACGAAGUCCGUCUUCCUGCCGAUUCCAGCCCCUUCUCAGCAGUGCACACAGCUUGUUCCCAAAUCGUUGAGCUCAGAAGUUGUGAUGUACUAUCUUCCCUUCAGCAAGCUGGGCAGCUGCAGUAGCUAAAGUUGAUCCUUGGACCCCAUGGUCUGCUGGCUGCCAUUCCCAGCUCCUGCGUCUGGUUCCAAAGCCACUGCUCCAUGUGGGUCUGGGGUGGAGCCACGCGGCCACACCCACACUGCCCUCUGACCACACCCAGUACUGUUGAGAUUCACCAGGCUCGCCAUGUGUAUUCUUCUCUGGCCCUGCAGCAGGAGCCCGAGCUUUUCCAAGCCGCCCACGAACAUGGCACACAGUGCUCAUCGGGAACGUGAGCUAUGAGGCAUCUCCUCUAAGGAGGGCUUAGAUGUUGGGGGCGACCCAUGGGGGAACUCCUGGUACCGUCUUUGGGAAAGUGGGGAAGAGGCUUCCCCUCGUGCCCCACACACAUACACAGUCUCAGACUGGUUACAGGCCUCGGGAUUUGUUUAUCAGUUUAAGCCAAUCCUCUAAGCAGACCCUGCCAGGUCACAGACAUACCCUGUGGUCAGAAACAUUUUGCUGUUUGCCUGCCCCAUCUCAGGUGACUCUGUGGGCUCUGCCCACCCGGGAUUAGCACCAGUCGGUGUGAGCAGGGGGCACACAGCGCACAAAGCCAAGAGCCAGGGAGUGUUUCUGCCGGAAGUGCAUCCCCCACAGUCUGCAGGCAGCCCCAGUGGGGCUGGGGAUUAACCCAUCCUCUGAGGACUUCCAGGUCGCCAAACACGUUGGACCAGAAAGUGCCCUCAGCGCUGUGAUCCGCUGAUUCUGGGCCUGGCAUUGUAACUCCAGGCUUCCCUGCCCGCUGGACACGCUGAGCCAGUCAGAAGCUGCCUGCAGCCUUUCUCACCUCCGAGUUCACGGUUGUCAGG